GAUGAACGCUGGCGGCGUGCCUAAUACAUGCAAGUCGAACGCAGAGAGAAGCUUGCUUUUCUCUGAGUGGCGAACGGGUGAGUAAUACAUAAGCAACCUACCCAUACGACCGGGAUAACCAUUGGAAACGAUGGCUAAUACCGGAUAGGUGACCGGGGGACAUCCCCUGAUUAUUAAAGCUGGGCUACAGCACGAAUGGAUGGGCUUAUGGCGCAUUAGCUAGUUGGCGGGGUAACGGCCCACCAAGGCGAUGAUGCGUAGCCGACCUGAGAGGGUGACCGGCCACACUGGGACUGAGACACGGCCCAGACACCUACGGGUGGCAG
This 326-nucleotide ribosomal RNA is filed under the name uncultured Bacillota bacterium. Its description in RNAcentral is "bacterial SSU rRNA". It matches the Rfam family "Bacterial small subunit ribosomal RNA", at positions 28 to 351 of the family's 1533-position model. The record is from RNAcentral. Lineage: Bacteria; Bacillati; Bacillota.